Oncorhynchus gorbuscha (pink salmon) is the source of this 859-nucleotide long non-coding RNA. RefSeq lists it as uncharacterized. NCBI's taxonomy places the organism in Eukaryota, Metazoa, Chordata, Actinopteri, Salmoniformes, Salmonidae. The record is from RefSeq and is a predicted model, not a curated record. The transcript is spliced from 5 exons.
GAGGAGUAGGAAGGAUCGGACCAAUACGCAGCGUGGCUUUGAAGGGAGUUUUGACUGGAUUUACUAGAAAUGUGAAAUUGACCUGGCAAGCCUGUCUCUGCCUGAGCAUGAUCACAACAAAAGUAGCUGUGCAGCACGUUUUUUAAAGGAAGAGGAGGAUGGUUGCAGACGUUCGCAUUCAUGCAAGAAGUUGACCAAAGCUAUGCUUGGAUACAAGACUGAUGACUCAAUAUCUAGUAUUGACAAUAGUGAAGAUGGUUAUGUCCCAGGGCCAUCAGGAUCAUCAGAGGAAGGCAGUGUCUAUGAAGAAAAUCUGACUGGAGAGAUGUCAGCGAUUCGGGCCAAUGACCAAGGGAAAGCUGGGACAAAAGAGAGUUGACAAAGGAACUAAAAGGUAUUGGUCGACAAUAGAGGUGGAUGCAGUUGAAGAUUCCUUGAUGAACUUUAUCCGAAUGGGGAAAAAUACUUGGAAAACAAAACUGUGAGAAAUGCAUUUCUGCUUCUCCCCAAGCGCUAGUAAACAGGGACUGCAGAGCAGUACAGUUCUAUGUACACAAGAUGAGAGAAAAUAAGUGUAUGAGAUGCUUCUGGCUAUCUUGGUGUACUUCUGAGGAUUUAAUGGGACUUACUUGACUUAAGCUCAUAGGCAGAUGACGAAUGUCCUCUUUCUCAAUGUUCAGGGGAAGCUUUUCCAGGUGGAUGGUUCACUUUUGGAGUGACUAAGGUCUCAAGAAUACAAAGCCUGCUGACUUUGAAUGUUACAGAAAAAUUAAGAAAAUUCUAAACUAUUAAUAUGUUACUUGGAUAUAUUGAAUCCAUUACUAAAUUGGUUGUUCCAGUUUAAAUACUUUAAUGAAGA